This 253-nucleotide ribosomal RNA is filed under the name uncultured bacterium. RNAcentral describes it as "partial 16S ribosomal RNA". It matches the Rfam family "Bacterial small subunit ribosomal RNA", at positions 524 to 776 of the family's 1533-position model. The record is from RNAcentral.
UACGGAGGGUGCGAGCGUUGUCCGGAAUCACUGGGCGUAAAGGGUGCGUAGGCGGGUCUUUAAGUCAGGGGUGAAAUCCUGGAGCUCAACUCCAGAACUGCCUUUGAUACUGAAGAUCUUGAGUUCGGGAGAGGUGAGUGGAACUGCGAGUGUAGAGGUGAAAUUCGUAGAUAUUCGCAAGAACACCAGUGGCGAAGGCGGCUCACUGGCCAGAUACUGACGCUGAGGCACGAAAGCGUGGGGAGCAAACAGG